GUGGGGAAUAUUGGACAAUGGACCAAAAGUCUGAUCCAGCAAUUCUGUGUGCACGAUGAAGUUUUUCGGAAUGUAAAGUGCUUUCAGUUGGGAAGAAGUCAGUGACGGUACCAACAGAAGAAGCGACGGCUAAAUACGUGCCAGCAGCCGCGGUAAUACGUAUGUCGCAAGCGUUAUCCGGAUUUAUUGGGCGUAAAGCGCGUCUAGGCGGCUUAGUAAGUCUGAUGUGAAAAUGCGGGGCUCAACCCCGUAUUGCGUUGGAAACUGCUAAACUAGAGUACUGGAGAGGUAGGCGGAACUACAAGUGUAGAGGUGAAAUUCGUAGAUAUUUGUAGGAAUGCCGAUGGGGAAGCCAGCCUACUGGACAGAUACUGACGCUAAAGCGCGAAAGCGUGGGUAGCAAACAGG
This 408-nucleotide ribosomal RNA is filed under the name bacterium. RNAcentral's name for it is "bacterial SSU rRNA". It matches the Rfam family "Bacterial small subunit ribosomal RNA", at positions 354 to 776 of the family's 1533-position model. RNAcentral also lists the same sequence under 1 other name. The record is from RNAcentral.